RNAcentral lists this ribosomal RNA (467 nucleotides) under uncultured bacterium. RNAcentral's name for it is "partial 16S ribosomal RNA". It matches the Rfam family "Bacterial small subunit ribosomal RNA", at positions 28 to 507 of the family's 1533-position model. The record is from RNAcentral.
GAUGAACGCUGGCGGCGUGCUUAACACAUGCAAGUCGAACGGUGAAGCAGAGCUUGCUCUGUGGAUCAGUGGCGAACGGGUGAGUAACACGUGAGCAACCUGCCCCUGACUCGGGGAUAAGCGCUGGAAACGGCGUCUAAUACUGGAUAUGAGCUGCGACCGCAUGGUCAGCAGUUGGAAAGAUUUUUCGGUCUGGGAUGGGCUCACGGCCUAUCAGCUUGUUGGUGAGGUAAUGGCUCACCAAGGCGUCGACGGGUAGCCGGCCUGAGAGGGUGACCGGCCACACUGGGACUGAGACACGGCCCAGACUCCUACGGGAGGCAGCAGUGGGGAAUAUUGCACAAUGGGCGAAAGCCUGAUGCAGCAACGCCGCGUGAGGGAUGACGGCCUUCGGGUUGUAAACCUCUUUUAGCAGGGAAGAAGCGAAAGUGACGGUACCUGCAGAAAAAGCGCCGGCUAACUACGUG